AUGGGCCCGCGGCCUAUCAGCUUGUUGGUGGGGUAAUGGCCUACCAAGGCGACGACGGGUAGCCGACCUGAGAGGGUGAUCGGCCACACUGGGACUGAGACACGGCCCAGACUCCUACGGGAGGCAGCAGUGGGGAAUAUUGCACAAUGGGCGCAAGCCUGAUGCAGCGACGCCGCGUGAGGGAUGACGGCCUUCGGGUUGUAAACCUCUUUCGCCAGGGACGAAGCGCAAGUGACGGUACCUGGAGAAGAAGCACCGGCCAACUACGUG
This 270-nucleotide ribosomal RNA is filed under the name uncultured bacterium. RNAcentral's name for it is "partial 16S ribosomal RNA". It matches the Rfam family "Bacterial small subunit ribosomal RNA", at positions 225 to 507 of the family's 1533-position model. The record is from RNAcentral.